Molecule: long non-coding RNA, 2347 nt
Filed under: Mus caroli (Ryukyu mouse)
Lineage: Eukaryota; Metazoa; Chordata; Mammalia; Rodentia; Muridae
Description: lncRNA (MGP_CAROLIEiJ_G0006669.1)
Source: RNAcentral
AGAGGUAGCCGGAGUGAAGUGAAGCACACAUUGUUGUGGAAUUAAACUAUCUUCCUUACCUUUCCUCCUUAAUGUUUCAAGAAAAGAAAAUUGGGUGGCAACCAAGAUAAAUUGGACCUAUUAACAAACAGCAAACAAACAAAAGGACUAGAGGACAGAAGAGAUGUUCUAGUUUGCUUCCUGUUGCUGGUGCAGACCUUAUGAGGAGAGAAUACUUGACAAUUGCACAUGGCGUGCAAGGAUGCGACUUCCAUCCUCACCAUGAAACGGGAGACCAACUUCACAAAGGCGAAAACUUUUAGAUACAGGAGCAUUCAUACUAGGUGAAUGCUUUGGUUGUUCUCUGAGCACGGACAGUUUGUGCUCCUGCCUGUGGAAGAACGCUGGCUCGAGGAUCUCUGAGACUCUCCUGAGGAUGUUCCGUGACUUCCAUGGAACUGCUGUGUUCAGUGUGCAGAGUGGACUACCUGCCCCGUGCUACCGGUGCUUAAUCCAGCAGAGGCCUCUUCACAGACUGUAGUGGACUGCAGGAUGACAACUUCAUUUACCAUGUCCUUUUAUCACAGAUGAAAACCCACAAGCCCAAGGACCUUGAACUUCAGACUUGAGAACAUGGAGCUGCCAUUACCCAGACCCAGACCCAGAGAGCAGAGUGAAGGGGAGAGCAAAUUGAAGCUUAGAGAUGAACAUUACCAUCCAGGAUAGGCUCGCGUACGGGCUGGAUGGAGACAGAAGAGGGUCCACUGGAGUUGGGAGGAGGGACUGAUGACAAUUUUUCGUGCUUGACUAGGCUUUUUAAAAAGCUACUUCUUAGGCCACUGUCCGGUGCCGGUUCCCUCCAGCAGCCCGUAGAGGCGGCACCGGUGAGUGCAGUCCGCGCAACCGAUGCCUGGUUAAGAUGGAGAAGUUUCUGCAGAUCGCGCCACACUCUCUGGCCAUCGUCCUGGGCCCGGCCGACAGCUCCGCAGAGAAGCCCGGGACAGUUCAGCCCUCGCCCCCGGUUCCCACCCAACCCCGGCAGCUCGCCCGACACCACAUCGGGUACGAGAUCUUCGCAGAUUUCAAAGCGGAGAACAUGCAACACUUCUGGAACAAGAAGGUCACAGCCGCGGUGGCCGAGACUUUUUUCCUAGGCUGGAUCGACGAGCAGGUCUUGCUGAUCCAGGGCAAGGAGGAGCAUUUAGAGGCGCUGCGGGAGGGCUGGACGCGCAGGGCUCUGCGACCCCCCUCUGGCUUCCAGAUCCGCUGCUUGGGCUGGUACAUGGAAAUCUAUGACUCCUCUGAAGCUUGUGGUGGGGCCACUUUCUUCUCCCAUCAUGUUGUGGUGUGAAUAGUUAUGUUCCCCCAUAGACUCAUGUUUGGAAUGUUUGGCCAAUAAGGAGUGGCACUACUAGGAGGUGUGUCUUUGUUGAAUAGAUGUGGCCUUGUUGGAGGAAGUGUCUCACUGUGUAGGUAGGCUUUGAGGUCUCAUAUGAUCAAGCUACACCCCAGUGUGACACACAGUUUCCUUUUGCUGCCUGCAGAUCAAGAUAGAGAACUCUCAGCUCCUUAUCCCGUGCUGUGUCUGCCUGUGCUCUGCCAUGCUUUCUGCCAUGAUGAUAAUGGUCUAAACCUCUGACACUGUAAGCCAGCCCCAAUGAAAUGGUUUCCUCUAUCAGACUUGUCUUGGUCAUGGUGUCUUCACAGCAAUGGAAACCCUAAGACACAUCACACAAGCAAUGUGGAGGCUUCAUCUUGCACCCCAAAUAGUUGCACAUCUACAAUUCCUAAAGAAGGCAAGAGCUUGACCAGAAGUGAAGCCUUGGCACACAGAGAACUGCUUCCUCUCAGGUCAGAGGUCAUUUAUAGGACAAAGCACUCUUCUCUUGUUAUCUGUCUGAAAAUUUGACAAGAAACUGAUUGGACCUGCAGAAGUCACCUGUAGCCUCAUAUGCAAAUUUUCAAGUAGAAUUUGACCAAGUGUGGAGAAAAAUUUGAUUUGGGCCAUUAAAAAAAUGAAAUCUAGUAAUGAAGAUUUGAACUUAAUUCAGUUUUUAAAAAUAAUGUAUUAAGUAACAAUGUAUUAAAGUUAAAUAAAAGCCGGUUUUUGUUUUUAUGAGUCUGUUGCACUACCUGCUUCUCUAAGAUGGCUGUUGCUUUUUGGUUUUUCAGUAUCACAUUUGGUUAAUACAUUUGUACUGACAUUGAAAGAGAAAUGGUAUGGGUGUAAGUGAUCAAGUUAAACUGAAAUUUAAAUUUCCUUUAUUGAAUAGUUUAGGCCCAUGUAGGGGCCUAGGUAAACAUACUUUCUUAACCUAAUUUGUACCUUCAAAUUUGGUACAUUUAAUUGAAAAGUAUUAUUAUUAUU